UGGGGAAUAUUGGACAAUGGGCGCAAGCCUGAUCCAGCCAUGCCGCGUGAGUGAUGAAGGCCCUAGGGUUGUAAAGCUCUUUCAGUGGGGACGAUAAUGACGGUACCCACAGAAGAAGCCCCGGCUAACUUCGUGCCAGCAGCCGCGGUAAUACGAAGGGGGCUAGCGUUGUUCGGAAUUACUGGGCGUAAAGCGCACGUAGGCGGACAUUUAAGUCAGGGGUGAAAUCCCGGGGCUCAACCCCGGAACUGCCUCUGAUACUGGGUGUCUUGAGUGUGGUAGAGGUGAGUGGAAUUGCGAGUGUAGAGGUGAAAUUCGUAGAUAUUCGCAGGAACACCAGUGGCGAAGGC
Molecule: ribosomal RNA, 350 nt
Filed under: uncultured bacterium
Lineage: Bacteria
Description: bacterial SSU rRNA
Rfam family: Bacterial small subunit ribosomal RNA
Source: RNAcentral